UACGUAGGGGGCAAGCGUUAUCCGGAUUCACUGGGCGUAAAGGGAGCGCAGGCGGCAUGGCAAGUCUGAUGUGAAAACCCGGGGCCCAACCCCGGGAGUGCAUUGGAAACUGCCAGGCUGGAGUGUCGGAGGGGUAAGCGGAAUUCCUUGUGUAGCGGUGAAAUGCGUAGAUAUUAGGAGGAACACCAGUGGCGAAGGCGGCUUACUGGACGACUACUGACGCUGAGGCUCGAAAGCGUGGGGAGCAAACAGG
Molecule: ribosomal RNA, 253 nt
Filed under: uncultured bacterium
Lineage: Bacteria
Description: partial 16S ribosomal RNA
Rfam family: Bacterial small subunit ribosomal RNA
Source: RNAcentral